ACGAACGCUGGCGGCGUGCUUAACACAUGCAAGUCGAACGGAAAGGCCAGUGCUUGCACUGGUGCUCGAGUGGCGAACGGGUGAGUAACACGUGGGUGAUCUGCCUUGCACUCUGGGAUAAGCUUGGGAAACUGGGUCUAAUACCGGAUAGGAACCGUCUUUAGUGUGGUGGUUGGAAAGUUUUUUCGGUGCAAGAUGAGCUCGCGGCCUAUCAGCUUGUUGGUGGGGUAAUGGCCUACCAAGGCGUCGACGGGUAGCCGGCCUGAGAGGGUGUACGGCCACAUUGGGACUGAGAUACGGCCCAGACUCCUACGGGAGGCAGCAGUGGGGAAUAUUGCACAAGGGGCGGAAGCCUGAUGCAGCGACGCCGCGUGGGGGAUGACGGCCUUCGGGUUGUAAACUCCUUUCGACAGGGACGAAGCGUUAUGUGACGGUACCUGUAUAAGAAGCACCGGCUAACUACGUG
RNAcentral lists this ribosomal RNA (466 nucleotides) under uncultured bacterium. RNAcentral's name for it is "partial 16S ribosomal RNA". It matches the Rfam family "Bacterial small subunit ribosomal RNA", at positions 29 to 507 of the family's 1533-position model. The record is from RNAcentral.